CCUACGGGUGGCAGCAGUGAGGAAUAUUGGUCAAUGGGCGGGAGCCUGAACCAGCCAAGUCGCGUGAAGGAAGAAGGUACUUAGUAUUGUAAACUUCUUUUGUCGAGGAACAAACGCGGAGACGCGUCUUCGGCUGAGUGUACUCGACGAAAAAGCAUCGGCUAACUCCGUGCCAGCAGCCGCGGUAAUACGGAGGAUGCGAGCGUUAUCCGGAUUUAUUGGGUUUAAAGGGUGCGAAGGCGGGUGAUCAAGUCAGCGGUAAAAUGUCGGGGCUCAACCCGGGCCGGCCGUUUAAACUGGUUUUCUAGAGUUGGAGAGAGGUAUGCGGAAUGCGUGGUGUAGCGGUGAAAUGCAUAGAGAUCACGAAGAACUCCGAUUGCGAAGGCAGCAUACCGACUCCAUACUGACGCUGAGGCACGAAAGCGUGGGGAGCGAACAGGAUUAGAUACCCUUGUAGUC
RNAcentral lists this ribosomal RNA (459 nucleotides) under uncultured bacterium. RNAcentral's name for it is "partial 16S ribosomal RNA". It matches the Rfam family "Bacterial small subunit ribosomal RNA", at positions 338 to 795 of the family's 1533-position model. The record is from RNAcentral.